RNAcentral lists this long non-coding RNA (5289 nucleotides) under Eutrema salsugineum. Its description in RNAcentral is "long non-coding RNA (ESAL_LNC000154)". The record is from RNAcentral. Lineage: Eukaryota; Viridiplantae; Streptophyta; Magnoliopsida; Brassicales; Brassicaceae.
UUUCACCGGAGCAUGUCAAAACCCAGAAAUCGUCGACUAUUUCUAGAUCCUCUCAUUUCCGAUGAUAGAUUGACGUUAAUUCAUCCUCACCGCUGACUGAUUCCGCUGCUACCUUAACCGAUGCAGCUCAGCUCUGCAAUCCCAGGUAAAUUCCGAAACUCCCAUAUCCAUCUCUUUACCAAAAUGUUAUUUCAGUUUCUGUUGCUGUGAUUUGCAAUUACUUCUGAAAUCUUACUGUCUUCCUUUUCAUCUGCAGCUGCUGAAGACACUUUUGAUUUCAAAAAACUAAGCAUCGUGAAUUGCAGGUAAAACCCUAAAUUCCUUUGACGCUUCCAAACUUUCAAAUUUGACCACCUGAAAAUUUUGCCAUUUGAGAAGAUCAACCCGUAAUGAAACACUUCUUCUCUGUUACCCUGAAAUGAUGACUUUUACCAAUCUCAUCUCACAUUUUUCAAACUUUACAAUCUGAAAAACUUUGUCGAUUUCUUAUGUUACCGAUACUGAAUUUUUUUUUUCAAUAUCUUCUGUCUUUGUGAGAUGCCCAAAUCGACAAGAGCAAUCUCAAGACGCUUUUGAAAACAACUACAGAAUUACAUUGAGAAGCACCAGGAACUUCUCAAACGUGUUUCCAGGUAAGCACUUUGUGAGCAUGUCUGCUGGAUUAGCUGUAGUGUGAACCUUUAGGAUCUUGACUGAACCUUCAUCGACUAUAUCUCUGAUAAAAUGAUAUUUGGUAUCAACAUGCUUUGUUCUGUCAUGGUGCACACUGUUCUUUGCUAAACAUAUAGCACUUUGUGAAUCACAAUUGAGUUUAAAACUGUCCUCUUUAAAACCCAAUUCACCACACAAUCCCUUAAGCCACAGACCUUCCUUAGUAGCCUCAGAUAGAGACAUAUAUUCUGCUUCCGUAGUAGAUAAAGCAACUACUUGUUGUAGACAUGAUCUCCAACUGACCGUAUUGCCACCAACUUUGAAAACAUAGCCUGAAACUGACCUUCUCCUGUCUAAGUCUGUAGCAUAAUCUGAAUCACAAAACCCUUCAAUCUCAAAUUUCUCUGAUUUUGUGAAAGUAAGACAUACUCCUGUAGCUCCUUUUAAAUACCUCAAAAUCCACUUAACCGCAGCCCAAUGAGAUCUUCCUGGAUUCGCCAUGAAUAUGCUAACCAAUCCAAUGACAAAGGCUAGAUCAGGUCUUGAACCGAUCAUAGCAUACAUCAGACUCCCCACUGCACUUGCAUAGGGAACUGAAUCCAUCAAUCUACUCUCUGUUUUUACCUCCUGCUCUGUUAGACUCUUAAGCUUAAACUGCGAAUUACUUGGAGUUACAACAGCCUUGCAAUCCUCCAUGUUAAAAGUUCUUAAAACCUGCUUAAGAUAUCUUUCCUGUGAUAACUUGAGAGUACCUUUCUUUCUGUCCCUGAUGAUAUCCAUACCAAGAAUUCUAGUCGCUGGUCCUAGAUCCUUCAUCUCGAACUUUUUACUUAAGCUUGCCUUCAAGGCUUUGAUCUUUUCCAUAUUCUUUGCUGCCACAAGCAUGUCAUCGACAUAUAGUAAGAGAUAAACCAUAUCAUCAAUACAUGAUCCCUUAGUGUAAACACAUGGAUCCCUAGCGCUCCUUUGAAACUCCAUUGACUUCAUGAAUUCAUCAAACUUCUGAUUCCAUUGUCUAGGUGACUGUUUCAAACCAUAUAGAGAUUUCUUAAGAAGACAGACCUUGUCUUCGUUUCCCUUCUCUAUAAAACCCUCUGGCUGACUCAUGUAAAUGACUUCAUCAAGUGUACCAUGUAAGAAAGCAGUCUUCACGUCUAGUUGCUCCAAUUCCAGAUCAAAAUUAACCACAACUGACAACAUGAUUCUAAUAGAAACAUGCUUAACCACCGGAGCAAAUAUUUCGUUGUAAUCCACUCCUUCAACCUGUGUAAAUCCCUUAGCUACAAGUCUUGCUUUGUAUCUAGGUUCUUCAACACCUGGAAUGCCCUCCUUGUACUUGAAGAUCCACUUACACUUUUUGCUUUCUCGGCUUAGAGACAAUCUCAAAAGUUUCAUUUUUAUCCAGAGAUUGUUUUUCUUCUUCCAUAGCCUGCUUCCACUUCUUCCAGUCUUUACUUUGUCUAGCUUCUGCGACUGACUUUGGUUCAUUUAACUCUAUGCUUUCAGCGCUAGUUAAAGCAUAAGCUAAAUAAUCAGCAUCCUCAAACCUCGAUGGUGGUUUGAUAGUUCUUCGCUCUCUGUCUCUUGCCAGCAAAUAAUCAUCAAGAGACUCUUCUUCAUCCUGAUUUUCUUGUUCUUCCUCAGAUUCCUGCUCCUCUUCUGAUUCUGAAUGUUCCGAAGUAGCUCCACCUUGACCAGCAGAAUCUGUAUUUCCUGAAACCUCUCCACCUUGACCAGUGGACUCUUGAACCGAACCAUUUGGAGUAGGUCCUUGGAUCAAUCCAGCUUUGAAAGUAACUUUCUUCUUCUUUGUAGAUUUUGUUACUUCAUUCUGAUCUCGGUCCUUAUACAACUUUUCCUCAUCAAAGACUACAUUCCUGCUGUUAGUACAUUUUCCAUCCUCCGGAAUCCAAACCCUGUAACCUUUAGUACCCUGUGGAUAUCCUAAGAAAAUCCCUUUAACAGCUCUUGGACUCAUCUUGUCUUGUAUUACAUGAACAUAUGCAACACAACCAAAUCGUCUGAGAUGACUGUAAUCAACCUUUGAUCCUGACCAAACCUCUUCAGGAAUCUUGAACUUCAGUGAUGCAUUUGGUGAUCUGUUUAUGAGAUAAACUGCAGUAGAAGCUGCCUCAGCCCAAAAUUUCUUUUCCAUUCCUGUUUCUGCUAACAUACACCUGAUCUUCUCAGCUAUUGUCCGAUUCAUCCUCUCAGAUACUCCAUUUUGCUGUGGAGUAUAAGUGCAAGUUCGAUGUCUUUUAAUCCCUGAAUCCUGACAUAGCUUAUCCAUCUGAUUGUUGCAGAACUCUAAUCCAUUAUCAGUUCGCAGACGCUUUAUCUUCUUACUCUUCUGAUUUUCCACUAGUGCUUUCCACUCUGAAAAAUUUUCAAACACUUCGUCCUUACUCCUUAGGAAUCUGAUCUAAACCUUCCUUGAGUAAUCAUCAAUGAAAGUAAGAAAGUAUCUACACCCUGUCAUGCUUGGCUCGUUUGACACUGAGCCCCAAAGAUCACUGUGAAUGUAUUCCAAAAUACACGUAGUAGUGUGUUGGCCAACUGGAAAACUCUGCUUGUGAGACUUACCAAACACACACUUUUCACAGAAAUCUAAAGUGUGGACUUCCUUUGAGUCUAGAUAACCUCCUUUGACCAGAAGAUUCAUGUUCUUAAGACUCAUAUGUCCUAGCCUUGAAUGCCAUCUGUUCGUUAGAUUUACCUCCGUCCUGACCACAGAUGCUUCUCCUCUCACAACUGUUCCCUGCAAAUAGUACAGCCCGUUCUCAUAUUUUCCUGAAAUCACUUUCUGGCCCUUCUUGUAGAAAGUAACUAUGAGUCCUUCCCUUCAUACUUGCACCCGUUCUUCUCUAGCUGCAUAGAGAUGAGAUUUUUGCUCAUGGNNNNNNNNNNNNNNNNNNNNNNNNNNNNNNNNNNNNNNNNNNNNNNNNNNNNNNNNNNNNNNNNNNNNNNNNNNNNNNNNNNNNNNNNNNNNNNNNNNNNUUUCCGCCAUCAACUUCUUUGAAGUCAUACAAGACAUCUCUAUCAGGUGUAAUGUGGAAAGUACACCCAGAAUCCAUGACCCAUUCAUCCAUAGUGUCUUGGACGCUUGCUGUUAAGAUCAUAGGUUCCUCUCUUUCAUGUACUACAUUUGCAGAGUCUUGUUUCCCAUACUUUCUUUCAGGGCACUCUUUCUUGUAGUGUCCUUCUUUCCCACAUAUCCAACAUUCUCUAGCUUUUGGUUGAUUCUUUGGUCUAGACUUCGACCUUGAAUCUCUGCUCUUGGAUCUACCUUUACUCUGACCUGUAGUCCUCUUUUCAGACCUCCCUCUACUUGCAACCAAAGCAUCUGCACUUGACUUUGGUUUUCCUAGAAGUCCACUCUCUUUUAGCUCGAUUUCCUUGGCAUAUGCUGAAGCGGUAACUUCAUUCAUAGUAAGUGUCUCUUUCCCGUUGCCGUAUUUGAGAGUAUGAACUAGUGAAUCAAACUGCUUAGGUAAGCUAGACAACACCUGAAUUGCCUGAUCUUCAUCACUUAUAGUUAUACUCAAGCUCUCCAAAUCGUCCACCAGUCUAAGAAACACGUCAAGAUUCUCCUCUAUGCUUUUGUGCUCUUCCAUCUUAAAACUGGCAAAUCUCUGCUUCAGAUAAAUGCGAUUUGGUAAGGUCUUUGUCUGGUAAUCCUUUUCUAGAGCUUUCCACACACCUAGAGCUGUUGUUUGCUUCAUAACCUUCCGCAAGACCAGAUUACUAAGGCUGGAACAUAUCAAGUUCUUUGCCUUUUUGUCUGUCUCCUUCUUCUUUGGAUCAACCGGAGAUGGAGUUGCCUUAGCAUCUGUCUCAUCUUCUUUUCCUUUUCCUUUGUCAGAUGCUGCGCUAGUUUCUUCCUCACUAAUUGCAGAAUCUAACCCUAGAUUUUCAAGAGCCAUAAGCAUCUUGAAUUUCCACAUACCAAAAUCUCCUUUACCAUCAAACUUCUCCACCUUAAUUUUACCAAAAGAUGGUUCCAUGAUUCAGACUUUGUAGAUGUUAUCACUUGAUUGAAUAACUUGGACUUUCCCGAAACAACACCAAUCGCAGAUCAGAAACUGAAACCGUAUCCUCCGCUUAAACCUGGUGCUCUGAUACCACUUGUGAGGUUUUAAUAUUGAUUUCAACCUCUAGUCUUAGCUCUUAACCUGAACUACUUAGAUCAAUUAACCUUGAUACUUAGUUUGUUUGUUGUUUUCAAGCAAGACACAAGAAAAUUUGGUAACCCAGUUCCCUUUCGGUACGUCUGGGGAGAGACGGUACUCUCAACGGUCCACUAUAAUCGAUCAAGUGUUUACAAUAAUGAGUUUGUUACUUCACCGUUAAACUCACGUAUCUCUCUUCUUUCCUUUGUUUCAGGUACCACAAAGAAGAAAGACCAGAAACUAAUUCACCUCAGUUUCAACCACAGAUGCCUUAACCCAGAAGAUGAAGACGAAAGCCUGAAAAAACCCUUAACCGUGUAUCUCUGUUUCUCUUCUCCUUCUCUCAUUAAUUAUCUCUGCUCUCUCUCAAAGUCUGCAACUCCAAAAAAGUUUUAUAUAUAGCUUUGAGUAAUCAUGUGGGCCUUAUACCCUAGCCCAACAUCAGUUUCUCUUGCACACUCUUGUAAAC